AAUAGAUAGGACAAGUAGUGGUCAAGAAAUGAUUUUACUGCUUCAACUCCUUGCACAGUACGGAGCUGACAAGGAAAACGAAUAAUUCGGCAAUAGCAGGCGCGUGGCAGUCAACAAAACAAAGACUGACAUCUUCUCUUGCGGAAUAAUGCACUGAUGCAUUAUUUCGCAAGUAAAGUGACGUGUACCUACUGUCUUUCCGGCUGCGGUGAUCUUCGGGUAUGUAGCGAUACAGAAGACAAUGCUGGAAAAAGGUGCUGCGGGUGCUGGCCGCUGCAUGGAAGUUGUGAAAAAAAUUAUUUGGUUGCAGGCCGUUCUUGUUUGCUAGCAGCCGGUGGGCGCAGAUGUUUCCAAUAGUUAAUUAAAUCACUGAGCUUUCGAAUAUCCCAAGAUGAAUUUGAUGGUGUAACUAAAGCAGCUACUGCAAUGGCGUUUGAUCUGUGCUUAUAAUAAAUUAUCAUUAUCAGUGCUUCCGAAAUAUAUAUACACAUCUCUGCAUAUCAUCCAUAGCUAUAAAAGCUAUUCCCAGCUAGUGUGUUUUUUCGCAGCUCUUGCAGAUGGAACACACCUGCAGCGGUACGAUACAGAGCCUGCGGUCCCUUUGCACAUCGGCAAUUAUGCGUGUACUCUCGACGAUGUUUAGAACUUUUCAACUAUAUCUACCGAACUUCCAAUCGCUUGACCAUUAUCGCCAUUGUGUUUUUCGCCGAUCAAUCCGGAAACAGUUUCGCUUAUGGUCCCUCACAGGCAGUCGGAUGAUGUUUAACCGCCACUAACAAGACAGACGCUGUUGUGAUCCGCACUUGAUUGGUGAACAGACGCUCGAUCAAAUUCGUACCUCCGGAGAGAAGUAAACCCCCAUCCAUGUCGAAAUAGGCCAAAGUUUCCACCACGGUUGUAUACUCGAUUGAUCAGCACCACGAAGCUGAAGGGAUGGAAGUUGUAUGGCAGGAGGCUAAAGACCACUCUAUGAGAUUUUUUUCAAUUACACAAAGUAUAAAUCGUACAUCAUCCAAAAAAUCAUCAGCUAACGUUUUAGUACUUCAUGUAGUUAUGCAUCAAAGGAUAACGUUAAAUUGAACCGAAUGUUAUUUUAUAAUUAAAGCUUAUUCCCUGAGCGCUUGCAAUCAUUAGAAUUGUAA
Armigeres subalbatus is the source of this 1142-nucleotide long non-coding RNA. RefSeq lists it as uncharacterized. The record is from RefSeq and is a predicted model, not a curated record. Lineage: Eukaryota; Metazoa; Arthropoda; Insecta; Diptera; Culicidae. The transcript has 3 exons.